ACGGUUUUGGGUGCAAGUCGAUUUCUUUUAUCAGUUAUUAAAUUGCCUGCCAAGGAAAAUACACGUUCAGACGCCGCACUACUUGCAGGUAUAGUUAAUAUUUUAAGUGCAAGUUUUGAUAUAAUAGGUAGGAGGUACUCGGACCGUCGUAAGCACACAUCUUGCCUGACACAUAACCCGCCGACAUUUCUUGAAUAUAUGUAUUUUACUAUGUUUUAAUGCGAUUUAUUGUGCUAUUUUAAAAGAAAACUAAAUAAAAGGAUAAGAAACAAAGAAGUUUCAGUUUUGUAGUUUUUACGAAGUCACUAGAAUCACGGGUUUCGUUCCUUUUAAAACCCCUCCGCGUAGGUAUAAACUUCAGGGACUCAUCUACCUAAGCUCUCCACUUUCUAAAAUGUAAGAUAAAGCUUUUCAUUUAUGCUUAAGAAAUAAUUGAAUAAAAUGAUAAGAAACAAAGAAGUUUCAGUUUUGUAGUUUUUACGAAGUCACUAGACUCACUCGUUAUUUUUUAAACCCCUCCGCGUAGGUAUAAACUUCAAGGACUCAUCUACCUAAGCUCUCCAAUUUCUAGAAUGUAAGAUAAAGCUUAAGAAAAUAAUUGACUAAAAGGAUAAUAAACAAAGAAGUUUCAGUUUUGUAGUCACUACAAUCGCACGUUUCGUUCCUUUUAAAACCCCUUCGCGUAGGUAUAAAAUAUAUUUUGAAUAUGCAAGGAAUUUGUGAAUGUAUUCAUGAAUAAACAACCCAAUAAACAAUUGCGUAAAUGUUUCGUAAAUCUGCGCUAAAAUAAACUUAUCUACAAACAUUUGAGUAAACUUACUUACAAAUGUGAGAAAUAAGUUUAUUUAUAAGUUUACUUAUCUUAUAUUUGUAAGUUUAAAAUAAAUGCGUUGAAAAAACGUUUACUUACAAACAUAAAUGUAAACUUAUGAUGCAACAUUGCAAAUCAGUUUACAUGUAAACACAAAAAGUAAACCAACAGUUUACCAUUUCCCGUUAGUUUUUUCGCCGACUCUCUGACGAUUGUUUUUCCUUUUUUGAGUGAUCGCAGUUAAUAAUUAUUGAAUUUGAGAGAUGUAAAGACGUGCGUUUUAAAUAAAACAGUGGAAAAGUUAAUAACUAAAAAUAAUUAAUUGAAAAAUUACUUACAUAUAAGUAUUAUUUAGAAGUGUUAUAAAUAAAAUAAAAUAAAAAAGGCCUUUACAAUAUAAAAGGUCGAAAAAGCAGGAACAAUUAAUAGCUAUACACUGGAUCCCACAUUUUUAGAAGCAAUUCAAAGCACCAUUGAUGCAGCUGUAUCCAAAUCUAUGGGAAGAAUCGUCGAGGAGGUAAGAAGCUUGCAGCGAGAUAUCGCAGAGUUGAGGAAUGCAGAGACAAUGUUCCAUCAAAAAAGAUUAUGCCAGCGGAACUUUUAAACACAGUGGAGCAAUUUAUGGAAUUGGAGAGUUUACUCCAGAAGGAUGAAGAAUGUGCUAAAUUUGUAUGUAAAUAUUUAAAAGCCAAUUUCACAAUUUCUUUUUUUUGAAGAAAUCGGAACUUAUGCAAAAUAUUAAAUACACAGGAGCGAAAUUCGUCAGAACAGCUUGGCGCUCAUUGGUAUCCGAUGAAUGUGCUCAACAUUUUGCUUGGAGUGGAACGUCAGACAAAAAACCUGUCCGCGUCUUAAAAGUAUCUAUGGCUAUCCGAGGUACUUAAUAAUAAAACUUAAUAAACUUUAUAUUUACAUGUGUACUUAUAUACUUAUAUAUAUUUUUAAUUUAAAUUUCAGAUGUCUUCUUACAUGAAGUGAAGGGCAAUGACACUGAAUAUAUAAGUGGCACCAAGACGAUUUUUUAGUUUGCCAAAAAUAGACAAAAACGGAAGCACCAAAAUGCAGCAAAUUAAUUAUUUUACCCAACUAUUUUUCUAUCAUUUCAUUUUUAAAGAAUUUUUUUAAAUUUUAAUUUUUAGUAUAAG
Long non-coding RNA from Bactrocera dorsalis (oriental fruit fly), 1956 nucleotides. RefSeq lists it as uncharacterized. Lineage: Eukaryota; Metazoa; Arthropoda; Insecta; Diptera; Tephritidae. The transcript is spliced from 3 exons. The record is from RefSeq and is a predicted model, not a curated record.